Molecule: transfer RNA, 102 nt
Filed under: Candidatus Wukongarchaeota archaeon
Lineage: Archaea; Promethearchaeati; Candidatus Wukongarchaeota
Description: tRNA-Gln
Rfam family: tRNA
About the family: Transfer RNA (tRNA) molecules are approximately 80 nucleotides in length. Their secondary structure includes four short double-helical elements and three loops (D, anti-codon, and T loops).
Source: RNAcentral
AGCCCGGUGGUGUAGUGGCCAAAACAUAUUUUAAGACGUGUUGGCUAAGCAUUCGGGGUUCUGGACCCUGAGACGCCAGUUCGAAUCUGGCCCGGGCUACCA